GGGUGUGAUCAUACCAACAUUAAUACACUAGAUUCCUUUAGAAAUAUGCAGUUAAGCAUGCUUGGGUGAAAGUAGUACGAGACUGGGUGACCUUUUAGAAAGUCCUUGUGUUGCACCCC
Gossypium hirsutum (cotton) is the source of this 119-nucleotide non-coding RNA. Lineage: Eukaryota; Viridiplantae; Streptophyta; Magnoliopsida; Malvales; Malvaceae. The record is from Rfam.